AGAGCGAACGCUGGCGGCAGGCUUAACACAUGCAAGUCGAGCGGGCGUAGCAAUACGUCAGCGGCAGACGGGUGAGUAACGCGUGGGAACGUACCUUUUGGUUCGGAACAACUGAGGGAAACUUCAGCUAAUACCGGAUAAGCCCUUACGGGGAAAAGAUUUAUCGCCGAAAGAUCGGUUCCGCGUCUGAUUAGCUAGUUGGGUGAGGUAAUGGCUCACCAAGGCGACGAUCAGUAGCUGGUCUGAGAGGAUGAUCAGCCACAUUGGGACUGAGACACGGCCCAAACUCCUACGGGAGGCAGCAGUGGGGAAUAUUGGACAAUGGGCGAAAGCCUGAUCCAGCCAUGCCGCGUGAGUGAUGAAGGCCCUAGGGUUGUAAACCUCUUUUAGUAGGGAAGAAGCGCAAGUGACGGUACCUGCAGAAAAAGCACCGGCUAACUACGUGCCAGCAGCCGCGGUAAUACGUAGGGUGCAAGCGUUGUCCGGAAUUAUUGGGCGUAAAGAGCUCGUAGACGGCUUGUCGCGUCUGCUGUGAAAACCCGAGGCUCAACCUCGGGCUUGCAGUGGGUACGGGCAGGCUAGAGUGCGGUAGGGGAGAUUGGAAUUCCUGGUGUAGCGGUGGAAUGCGCAGAUAUCAGGAGGAACACCAAUGGCGAAGGCAGAUCUCUGGGCCGUAACUGACGCUGAGGAGCGAAAGCGUGGGGAGCGAACAGGAUUAGAUACCCUGGUAGUCCACGCCGUAAACGUUGGGAACUAGAUGUAGGGACCAUUCCACGGUUUCUGUGUCGCAGCUAACGCAUUAAGUUCCCCGCCUGGGGAGU
This 821-nucleotide ribosomal RNA is filed under the name uncultured bacterium. RNAcentral describes it as "bacterial SSU rRNA". It matches the Rfam family "Bacterial small subunit ribosomal RNA", at positions 26 to 881 of the family's 1533-position model. The record is from RNAcentral.